AUCAAAGCCACAGGCGGCUGGGAGACAAAAUAUGGAUAAUUAUGACAAAUCCCGUAAUGAUUGUAGUUUCCUUAAAAAUCUCUGCCGCUGGAACACUCACUCGGAACAGUCACUCGGGUUGCUCCGCUAUCCGGAACAGUCAUCAAGACUGUUCUGCGUGAAAAUCACCAAAUUGCACUAUUUUCUGCCUCUUUUGUUCCAGCUGGUUCAUCUCCCAUCCAAUGCAACUCCAGACCUGUAAUGACUCGAAAAGGACUAGGAAGACUCGAUAAAGACUUGAAAACCAAUUUAAAAGCAUAUAUACAAGAUGUAUAAAACACCAUAUAUCAAUUCCCCCAGACUUAGAUCCUUGUUUGUCCUCAAACAAUGUCAAGUAUCAAGAACAGGGAGAAAGGUUUGAAAGUGUGGGAACUCUCCUAUUCUCAGCAACCAUACUUUAACCACGAAUCUCUGAACCAUACAAGCAGUAAAACUAGGACAACACACCCUUACCGGAACCCCACUGACUGCUGUUCAAAAAUCGGCUCCAUACUCUUCAUCUCAAACCUGAAAAAGCAACACUAUCGAGACAGAACUCCCUACAUUCAUUUAAGAGUAGCGUGAGCUUCUCAUCACAGGCAUCAUUCAGGGUAGACGGUCUAGGUGUGGAACAGGCUAUUUAAUGGUGGAGUUAAGAGUGUUUAGGGGCUACCAUUUCAUUGAAGAGGAUGCAGGAUAUCACACAAAAUGGCAAGAGAGGAUAGAUCCAUUGAUGUCCACAGCCUCUACUCGUUUUUGCUCUAUCUGGUGCGACUGUUCUGAUGGCGGAACAGGCAACUGAUUGUUCUGCGUUCCACUUUCCUUUUGGUACCCACUCCUUUGUUCGAUCUUCCCAGUGGCUCAUGUUUCUUUUCUUUCUUCCCCUUCUCCAUCACAUUAAUCUCGUUUUUUUUUUUUUUUUUUUUUUGAAGACUGAUAUGGUGAUGUGACGAAGAAGGAGGUAAUACAUGAUCGUUCUGAGUGCCACUGGUGGUUCUGAUUUUGCAACCAUUCUGGUUCUCCACCCCUGCUCUUGCGCAGUUCAUUGGUUAUGGAGCAGUUGCUCCCUUAAUCUGCUUGUUCUCCUUUCUGACUGAAUUUCUGCAGCAGUAACGAGUAGCAGGCUGCGUUGAUCCUUUCCUCUCCGACCUUUUUGCACAUAUCUGCACAUAUGACACUGAAAAACAAAUGCAUGAAGGUGGAAUAAAGGCUAAGGUGCAGGGUGGGAACUAGCUAAAGAUGAGCUAGCCACUCAGGAUCAGCAAGAUGGAUAAAAAGGAUAAGAAGUCCUGAGUGUGUUCUCGUUUCCCUGAUCUAAUGCCCAUAACAAGAAGAAUUUCAGUCAAGAUUAGGUUCAAGUAAGGUGGAGUUAAGUCUACCCAGUGUAACCUGAUCGGCUGAGAACUUCUGGAGAAUCAAGUGAGAUAUGUCAGGGUGUUCCAGGUCCACAUGUGUGUCUUUCGCCACUGCUAAGGUCACUGAAUAAGAUAACUAAAGCACGAGGUGGUCAGUGAUCAACACAGAAUAAGGUCCUAAUUCCCACAAAGUUUUGACUGACUCAAUAAAAACUGACUCAAAUUGACCCAAAAGAAAAACAAAAGAAAGAAACGAGUUAGUAAACGACGAAAACCCUCCCCCGGACUUACUUCACAACGUCCCUGGUGUGAAAAUAAAUCAGAGAGAAGGAAAAAACAAGAAUAAAUUAUUUUAUUUUUUUUUUUCGAGAUACUUACCUGGUGCGGAGCAGCCUGACAGAGCAAGACGCGGUUGCUCCGGUAAAGGAUGCUCUGGAAUGAGAGCAGC
Molecule: long non-coding RNA, 1821 nt
Filed under: Brassica rapa (field mustard)
Lineage: Eukaryota; Viridiplantae; Streptophyta; Magnoliopsida; Brassicales; Brassicaceae
Description: long non-coding RNA (BRAP_LNC005888)
Source: RNAcentral